RNAcentral lists this transfer RNA (75 nucleotides) under Polulichloris maxima. Its description in RNAcentral is "tRNA-Met". It matches the Rfam family "tRNA". Rfam says of the family: Transfer RNA (tRNA) molecules are approximately 80 nucleotides in length. The record is from RNAcentral. Lineage: Eukaryota; Viridiplantae; Chlorophyta; Trebouxiophyceae; Watanabeales; Watanabeaceae.
GCCUGUUUAGCUCAGCUGGUUUAGAGCAUCCGUCUCAUACGCGGAAUGUCAUUGGUUCAAGUCCAAUAGCAGGCA